GAUGAACGCUAGCGACAGGCUUAACACAUGCAAGUCGAGGGGCAGCGAGGGCGUAGCAAUACGCCUGUCGGCGACCGGCGCACUGGUGAGUAACACGUAUGCGACCUGCCCCCUACAGGGGUAUAACCCGUAGAAAUGCGGACUAAUCCCCCAUAGUCCUGAGUGCUGCAUGGCAUUCAGGGGAAAGGGUUUCCGGUAGGGGAUGGCCUCGCGUCUGAUUAGCUAGUUGGUGAGGUAACGGCCCACCAAGGCGACGAUCAGUAGCCGGACUGAGAGGUUGAACGGUCACAUUGGGACUGAGAUACGGCCCAGACUCCUACGGGAGGCAGCAGGUGGGGAAUUUUGCGCAAUGGGCGAAAGCCUGACGCAGCAACGCCGCGUGAUUGAUAAAGCCCUUCGGGGUGUAAAGAUCUGUCAGUGGGGACGAACAAUGACGGUACCCACAGAGGAAGCACCGGCUAACUCCGUG
This 469-nucleotide ribosomal RNA is filed under the name uncultured bacterium. Its description in RNAcentral is "bacterial SSU rRNA". It matches the Rfam family "Bacterial small subunit ribosomal RNA", at positions 28 to 507 of the family's 1533-position model. The record is from RNAcentral.